RNAcentral lists this long non-coding RNA (250 nucleotides) under Homo sapiens (human). Its description in RNAcentral is "HSALNT0110676". Lineage: Eukaryota; Metazoa; Chordata; Mammalia; Primates; Hominidae. The record is from RNAcentral.
AGGAAAUAAAUGUCAGCAACUCAAUAGUCAAAAAGGCAACAAUCACAAUGCUAGAUGACCAAAGCAAUAACUUUCUGAAGACAACAGGUGGGUUUUCUAUCUAUCUGAAGUCACGCUUCAUUUUGGCAUGUCCUUAGAAGAAUAUAGUCUGCCUGGACCCCUGUGUCAUCUCAUGUCAGUUCAGCACUUGGCCCUGGCAGGCAUCUUGCUGUCAUGUACCCUUCCACUUCUAGUAGAUGUGAGUUGUUAC